This 353-nucleotide ribosomal RNA is filed under the name uncultured bacterium. RNAcentral's name for it is "bacterial SSU rRNA". It matches the Rfam family "Bacterial small subunit ribosomal RNA", at positions 8 to 350 of the family's 1533-position model. The record is from RNAcentral.
AGAGUUUGAUCAUGGCUCAGGAUGGACGCUAGCUACAGGCUUAACACAUGCAAGUCGAGGGGAAACGACAUCGAAAGCUUGCUUUUGAUGGGCGUCGACCGGCGCACGGGUGAGUAACGCGUAUCCAACCUGCCCACCACUUGGGGAUAACCUUGCGAAAGUAAGACUAAUACCCAAUGAUAUCUCUAGAAGACAUCUGAAAGAGAUUAAAGAUUUAUCGGUGAUGGAUGGGGAUGCGUCUGAUUAGCUUGUUGGCGGGGUAACGGCCACCAAGGCUACGAUCAGGUAGGGUUCUGAGAGGAAGGUCCCCCACAUUGGAACUGAGACACGGUCCAAACUCCGUACGGGAGGCA